CGGGAGCAAGGUAAGACCAUCACACGGUGCCUCUAACAAGUGAUUUUCCAUUCUAUACCUAUUAUAAUCCAAGGAUAUAAAUAAAAAGAAUAAUGAAUCAAAUAGCGGUCAAUCUUAUCAUCCAGUCGGCUAAAAUGACCCUAAUCAACACUGAUGUCUCUCACAACAUUGAAGACCUCACACCAGAGAAAGAACAGUUAAUAUCGGAGAUUGCCAGGAAGUAUAAAUGCGAAGUACGGUGACUACAGAAGAUGUACUGAGGAAUAGAACAUAAAAGAGCCAGUAUAAAACCCAUGGCACUCAUCACAUGGCCGCAUUUGAAGUAAUGGAAGUGCCAAUUUUGUGAAAGACAACACCCUCGUGAAAUCUGUUGCCAUAAGCUGUGUUAAUAAUAUAAAAAUUAACUUCCUGGGACAAUGUUCAUCGCUGUGUUAAUAAUAUAAAAAUUAACUUCCUGGGACAAUGUUCAUCUUCGCAUAGCCACACAAACACCUACUGCAGUGAAAAAUAACUAGAAAACCAACUGACAAAGUAAUGAAACUAAACAAAUUAUUUAUUUAAAAAAGAAUUUGACACAGAUUACAGACAUGAAAAAGAAGCUAAAAACAGAACAA
Molecule: non-coding RNA, 614 nt
Organism: Cinara cedri
Lineage: Eukaryota; Metazoa; Arthropoda; Insecta; Hemiptera; Aphididae
Source: the annotation of a GenBank genome assembly